GGUAAUGCCGGAUGCUCCGACUCCUCGCAUGGGGUGUCGGGAAAGAUUAUAUCGGUAUGGGAUGGGGUCGCGUCCUAUCAGGUAGUCGGCGGGGUAACGGCCCACCGAGCCUACGACGGGUAGCCGGCCUGAGAGGGCGACCGGCCACAUUGGGACUGAGAUACGGCCCAGACUCCUACGGGAGGCAGCAGUGGGGAAUAUUGCACAAUGGGCGCAAGCCUGAUGCAGCGACGCCGCGUGCGGGAUGACGGCCUUCGGGUUGUAAACCGCUUUUGAUCGGGAGCAAGCCUUCGGGUGAGUGUACCUUUCGAAUAAGCACCGGCUAACUACGUGCCAGCAGCCGCGGUAAUACGUAGGGUGCAAGCGUUAUCCGGAAUUAUUGGGCGUAAAGGGCUCGUAGGCGGUUCGUCGCGUCCGGUGUGAAAGUCCAUCGCUUAACGGUGGAUCUGCGCCGGGUACGGGCGGGCUGGAGUGCGGUAGGGGAGACUGGAAUUCCCGGUGUAACGGUGGAAUGUGUAGAUAUC
RNAcentral lists this ribosomal RNA (524 nucleotides) under Bifidobacterium pseudocatenulatum. RNAcentral's name for it is "bacterial SSU rRNA". It matches the Rfam family "Bacterial small subunit ribosomal RNA", at positions 162 to 698 of the family's 1533-position model. The record is from RNAcentral. Lineage: Bacteria; Bacillati; Actinomycetota; Actinomycetes; Bifidobacteriales; Bifidobacteriaceae.